GGGGAAUAUUGGACAAUGGGGGCAACCCUGAUCCAGCCAUGCCGCGUGAGUGAAGAAGGCCUUCGGGUUGUAAAGCUCUUUCAGAUGAGACGAUGAUGACGGUAUCAUCAGAAGAAGCCCCGGCUAACUUCGUGCCAGCAGCCGCGGUAAUACGAAGGGGGCUAGCGUUGUUCGGAAUUACUGGGCGUAAAGGGCGCGUAGGCGGUAGUAUAAGAUAGGGGUGAAAUCCCAGAGCUCAACUCUGGAACUGCCCUUAUUACUGUAUAACUAGAGGCCGAGAGAGGGUAGCGGAAUAUCCAGUGUAGAGGUGAAAUUCGUAGAUAUUGGAUAGAACACCGGUGGCGAAGGCGGCUACCUGGCUCGGAACUGACGCUGAGGCGCGAAAGCGUGGGGAGCAAAC
Molecule: ribosomal RNA, 400 nt
Filed under: uncultured bacterium
Lineage: Bacteria
Description: bacterial SSU rRNA
Rfam family: Bacterial small subunit ribosomal RNA
Source: RNAcentral